UAAAAGUAAACUUUUGUAUGCAGUUGGAACAGCGCCCCUAGCGCAAAGGUAGGAAAACUUUCCAACUGCAUACAAAUUUGAGUUA
Bombyx mori (domestic silkworm) is the source of this 85-nucleotide non-coding RNA. NCBI's taxonomy places the organism in Eukaryota, Metazoa, Arthropoda, Insecta, Lepidoptera, Bombycidae. The record is from Rfam.